Molecule: long non-coding RNA, 772 nt
Filed under: Equus caballus (horse)
Lineage: Eukaryota; Metazoa; Chordata; Mammalia; Perissodactyla; Equidae
Description: lncRNA (ENSECAG00000028570.2)
Source: RNAcentral
AAAGGACAGAGCACCCAGAUCUGCUUGGAGAGGCCCCGUCCCAGCUGUGCCCUCCUUCCUCGGGGGUUCUGACAUGCUUCUCGUUGCCAGGGCAUCCUUGCUGCUCUCCUGAAGACCCACCAGGAAGCAGGGUUCUCCUGCCAAAGAGCCACCCCCUCUGCCUGCCUUGCUGACAGCCGGCCUUCACCCAGGCAGAAGAUGAAUGGCAGCCCCAGCUGCCAAAUCGGAACAAAUGGCUACAGAUCUCCUCUUGAACAAAGCUGAAGACAAACACUCCGGGCAUCAGCUGCCGGGCUGGCCUAUGUAUGAAGGGUUUGUUGGAAAGAGAGCUGUCCAGGGUACUCUGGGACCUGAGUUCCGCUCCUGGGACCUGAGUUCCGGUCCUGUCUGGUUCACAGCAUUGAAGGUGAGCUGAGCAAAGCAUGUACAUCUUGGGGUCUUAGUCUCUGCUGGUCAACCAGAGGACGCUGGACUGUAUAGUACUUAGUAUCAGAGCUUUUGAGCUCCAUUUCGUUUCCUUCUGUUUCCAUUUCUGCUCACUGGUUCAAAGCAUCAGGCUGAAAUCUCUCAGUUGUUGGAAGGCAGUACAGCUGCCCAGGGAGACGGUGAACUAAGCAGUCAGAUAAACUGGAGUCACACCGAAGCUGGGCAAGGCUCUUAAACACCCGUAUCCUCAGUUUCGUCAUCUGCAAAAUGGGGUCAUGACACCACAGCAUCUGCCCAGAGCACAUACGCAACAAGUCUCCGUCACGGUUAGUAUUGUAUGUGUGAG